This is a long non-coding RNA of Myotis daubentonii (Daubenton's bat), 1573 nucleotides long. RefSeq lists it as uncharacterized. The transcript is spliced from 4 exons. The record is from RefSeq and is a predicted model, not a curated record. Lineage: Eukaryota; Metazoa; Chordata; Mammalia; Chiroptera; Vespertilionidae.
CUCUGUACUUUGCACUUUGGUAAAAGUCUCAUUCAGGUUUAGAUUUCUAAAGUUUUCUUAAGAAAAUAAGUUUUCUUUGCUCUUCUUUCUUCCAAAUUGCAGAAAUCAGAUAAAAAUUACUUGAUAAAAUGACUUAUGUUAUUGAAGAUCCCAUAAAAAAGGUUGCUAUCUUUGGAGGAACUCACGGGAAUGAGCUAACAGGAGUAUUUCUGGUUAAGCACUGGCUAGAGAAUGGCGCUGAGAUUCAGAGAACAGGACUGGAGGUAAAACCAUUUAUCACCAACCCAAGAGCAGUGAAGAAGUGUACCAGAUAUAUUGACUGUGACCUGAAUCAAGAUUUUGACCCUGGAAAUCUUGGACUUCUUUGGCUCCGUUACCCUGCUAUAUUUAUCUUAUUGAGCAUCCUUCCCUUAAAUAUGCAACCACUCGUUCUAUAGCCAAGUAUCCUGUUGGUAUAGAAGUUGGUCCCCAGCCUCAAGGGGUUCUGAGAGCUCAUAUUUUGGAUCAAAUGAGAAAAAUGAUUAAAUAUGCUCUUGAUUUUAUACAUAAUUUCAAUGAAGAAUUUUACAGCCUGUAAAACAAGUGGGACCCACCUCUGGUGUCAAGAGUUUCACUAGGAACCCUGCCAGCCAGAGAGCCAGCACUUGCAAGCUGCUGCCACCGAUCAGGCUUCUGAGCUUCAGCUGCUCAAUCACUGAUGCCUCGUCCUCUUAACCUGGUGAAGCGGUAGUUAACGGCACAUGAGAGUAGUGCUUCUGAAAAUGUAAUAUGCAUGUAAACUACCUGUUAAAAGCUGGUUUUGAUUUAGUGAGUCUGUGGUGGUGCCUAAAAUUCUACAUUUUAUAAGCACAAAUUUUAUAUUUGGUGAUGCCAAUUCUGCUGGUCUGUGCACAACACGACGAGUAGUGAGAACAUGCAACACAUUUUAAAAUACAGAUUACUGCACCCUCCCCCAAUAAAUGUAGUCAGAAUCUCUGGGGAAGGAGAGCCAAUCUAAAAUAUCUUAAUGUAAUUCCUUAUGUAAUUCAAAUACAAGGCAUCUAAAAAUUUAUAUACACACUUUAACAGCUGAUAGUUCAAUUUUGAAAAUGAAAUGUAUUUUAAUAAACACUGCCUUUAUAAUGAUUCAAAGUGUGUGUAUGCAUUUUGAGGACCAUAUAUAUAUAUAUAUAUGGUCAGUCAAGGAUUAAGAACCUCUGUAUUGAAACACUUGCCUCACACAGAUGUCUGUCGUUGAAAUGAUACAAUCUUAAGAGACACAUUACCUAGUAACAUUUAUGAAUGCUAUCAUUAAAACUGGUGAACAUCAGUCAAAAUAUUUCUAGAAUAUGAACAAAUCUUGAAAGGCUCAGAUGUGGAGAAUGAUUAUUACACUGGAAAACCUAACCUGCAGAACAACACGAGACCCUCUGAUUAGAAGGACCCUACAAGACCAGCUCAUUCAUCCUUUGUCCAACUUACCCAGUCUGUCUGAGGGUGAUGACGGGACCCUGGCCUGAGAUCCUGCUCCCUUUUAUUCACUAAGGCACGUGAAGUAACAGCCUCUGUAGUCACCACCUGUGUCUGCAACAUC